GGGAAUCAGGGUUCGAUUCCGGAGAGGGAGCCUGAGAAACGGCUACCACUUCCAAGGAAGGCAGCAGGCGCGCAAAUUACCCAAUCCCGGCACGGGGAGGUAGUGACGAAAAAUACGGAUACGGGACUCAUCAGAGGCUCCGUAAUUCGAAUGAGUACACUUUAAAUCCUUGUACGAGGAUCAACUGGAGGGCAAGUCUGGUGCCAGCAGCCGCGGUAACUCCAGCUCCAGAAGCGUAUAUUAAAGUUGUUGCAGUUAAAAAGCUCGUAGUUGGAUCUGGGUCGCAUGGCUACAUGCUGCGCUCGUAUUUCCAAUCUGGUUACGACUGGAGCGGAUUUGUGAGUCAGUGUCGUGGUUGUGCAGCCUUUCUGCCGUGUCUGGUUUCCAGGUGCUGGCUAUCAGUGGGUUCGUCUCGCUGUUUAGUUGGCAUGCUUCUCGAUGCCUUUCAACGGGUGUCGGAUGCGGACGGCACGUUUACUUUGAACAAAUUUGAGUGCUCAAAGCAGGCCACAGAGCCUGAAAAUUCUUGCAUGGAAUAAUGAAAUAGGACUUCGGUUCUAUUUUGUUGGUUUUCGGAUCCGAAGUAAUGGUUAAGAGGGACAGACGGGGGCAUUUGUAUGGCGGUGUUAGAGGUGAAAUUCUUGGAUCGCCGCCAGACAAACUACAGCGAAAGCAUUUGCCAAGGAUGUUUUCAUUGAUCUGGAGCGAAAGUCAGAGGUUCGAAGACGAUCAGAUACCGUCCUAGUUCUGACCAUAAACGAUGCCAACUGACGAUCCGCGGUGGUUCUUUUAUUGUCCCCGCGGGCAGUCCCCGGGAAACCUUUAAGUCUUUGGGCUCCGGGGGAAGUAUGGUUGCAAAGCUGAAACUUAAAGGAAUUGACGGAAGGGCACCACCAGGAGUGGAGCCUGCGGCUUAAUUCGACUCAACACGGGAAAUCUCACCCGGCCCGGACACCGUGAGGAUUGACAGAUUGAAAGCUCUUUCUUGAUUCGGUGGUUGGUGGUGCAUGGCCGUUCUUAGUUGGUGGAGCGAUUUGUCUGGUUAAUUCCGAUAACGAACGAGACUUUGGCCUGCUAAAUAGUAAGCCUGUCCUGUGUGCUCGUGCGGGUGACGGUGCUCAUUGCCCUUCGAGGCGGUGGUGUCGUUCGCCGGCGGGUGCUGCGCAGGUGUUUACUUCUUAGAGGGACAAGCGGCGAGACAGUCGCACGAAAAUGAGCAAUAACAGGUCUGUGAUGCCCUUAGAUGUCCGGGGCCGCACGUGCGCUACAAUGACGGUUUCAGCGAGUUUGGAAACCUGGCCUGAGAGGGUUGGGCAAACUGAAUCAUCACCGUCGUGACUGGGAUCGGGGCUUGCAAUUAUUCCCCGUGAACGAGGAAUUCCUGGUAAGUGCAAGUCAUAAGCUUGCGCUGAU
Molecule: ribosomal RNA, 1413 nt
Filed under: Dicrocoelium dendriticum
Lineage: Eukaryota; Metazoa; Platyhelminthes; Trematoda; Plagiorchiida; Dicrocoeliidae
Description: SSU rRNA
Rfam family: Eukaryotic small subunit ribosomal RNA
Source: RNAcentral